AGCCCCGGAGCCCUUUAUGGGCUCGUUUUCAAACUUGCAAUUUGAUGUGUGCUCACUACGAGGCU
Molecule: transfer RNA, 65 nt
Filed under: Stenocercus chrysopygus
Lineage: Eukaryota; Metazoa; Chordata; Lepidosauria; Squamata; Tropiduridae
Description: tRNA-Cys
Source: RNAcentral